This is a long non-coding RNA of Helianthus annuus (common sunflower), 1008 nucleotides long. RefSeq lists it as uncharacterized. The record is from RefSeq and is a predicted model, not a curated record. The transcript is spliced from 6 exons. NCBI's taxonomy places the organism in Eukaryota, Viridiplantae, Streptophyta, Magnoliopsida, Asterales, Asteraceae.
UGGGCCACUUGAUACGGUCAUGCAGCUGGGUCGGGUCAAACGGAUAUCAUUAUUGACUGUGAUGAAAGAUUCACAACGACUUGAUCUACUAAAGAAAAUUGCUGGUAGUCGAGAUUAUGAAGAGGUUCGUCACAGAAGCUGGAAACUCAUGCAAAAUUGCUGGUAGUCGAGAUUAUUUUGUUUUCAUUUUUUUAUUGUUCGUCCAAUUAAUUCUUAAUUCGAGUUCGUAAAUGAUUUGGGGACGAGUCUCAGUAUGGACCAGUCUGAAUUAUCAUACUGUUGAUUUAUGCUUUUCAAGACUGAUAUAAUCCGAUUUGGGUUCCUUUCUUGACAGAUUUGAAGCUCUUUGGGUUUUGGUCAAAGUUUGUCAAACGGGUCAAGGCUGGUCAAAACAAGUAAGCACACCAAUUGAGGAGUUUGUUGUGCUGCGAAUCUAUGAAUUGGAGAGUGACGAAGGUAUUGUGGAAGAGGAGAAAUUAUAACCAUGUGGAGAGUGCCGAAGGACUGUGCAAAGUAUUUACACAAGAAGUUUCCGGACAGUAGGCAAGUUGGUGAAAACAUGGGCAAAGUUACUAAUACUAAACAUAUUCUGCACGAGUGUAAAUCCUGAGGCCCUGAGCUAGAAUUGCUUUACACGGUUCAGUGUUAUGAAGAUACAAAAUUGUUGAAAUCGUUUCUUGAAUUGUGACGUCACUAUAUGAUCUAGAUAUUCGUGCUAUGGAUACUUCAUUUUAUUGGUUCCGCAAAAGGAACCAACCCAAAAGGAAGUUAUUAAGGUGGACAUUUGACAUUAUGUAGCCAUACGGGUGUGGAUUUGACAUGCCUGGUACAAUCUGUAGUGGAUUUGACAUGGGCUGUUUUGAUCCAGUAACACGCUCCUUGGUCCAUACGCGCCAGGUGCUUUUGGUCCAUCAGCCGCCGCCAGCUAUAGGGUUGCGAGGCUACCAUUAGUACAUGGUUUAUACUCACCAGAUGCUUAUGGUCUUAUAGUAUUUUCAUUUGGCAUGG